UAAGCCUGUGAAGGUGGCCUGUGAGGGUUGCUGGAGGUAUCAGAAGUGCGAAUGCUGACAUAAGUAACGAUAAAGCGGGUGAAAAGCCCGCUCGCCGGAAGACCAAGGGUUCCUGUCCAACGUUAAUCGGGGCAGGGUGAGUCGACCCCUAAGGCGAGGCCGAAAGGCGUAGUCGAUGGGAAACGGGUUAAUAUUCCCGUACUUGGUGUUACUGCGAAGGGGGGACGGAGAAGGCUAUGUUGGCCGGGCGACGGUUGUCCCGGUUUAAGCGUGUAGGUGUGUGUUCCAGGUAAAUCCGGUUCACUUUAACACUGAGGCGUGAUGACGAGGCACUACGGUGCUGAAGCAACAAAUGCCCUGCUUCCAGGAAAAGCCUCUAAGCAUCAGGUAACAUCAAAUCGUACCCCAAACCGACACAGGUGGUCAGGUAGAGAAUACCAAGGCGCUUGAGAGAACUCGGGUGAAGGAACUAGGCAAAAUGGUGCCGUAACUUCGGGAGAAGGCACGCUGACAUGUAGGUGAAGUGAUUUACUCA
This 535-nucleotide ribosomal RNA is filed under the name Salmonella enterica subsp. enterica serovar Derby. RNAcentral describes it as "partial 23S ribosomal RNA". It matches the Rfam family "Bacterial large subunit ribosomal RNA", at positions 1243 to 1773 of the family's 2925-position model. RNAcentral also lists the same sequence under 3 other names. The record is from RNAcentral. Lineage: Bacteria; Pseudomonadati; Pseudomonadota; Gammaproteobacteria; Enterobacterales; Enterobacteriaceae.